GUCGACGAGUUCUGAUUAUUGAAAGGUGCUUGCAUCUUGAUUUAAUUUUGAACGAGUGGCGGACGGGUGAGUAACACGUGGGUAACCUGCCCUUAAGUGGGGGAUAACAUUUGGAAACAGAUGCUAAUACCGCAUAAAUCCAAGAACCGCAUGGUUCUUGGCUGAAAGAUGGCGUAAGCUAUCGCUUUUGGAUGGACCCGCGGCGUAUUAGCUAGUUGGUGAGGUAACGGCUCACCAAGGCAAUGAUACGUAGCCGAACUGAGAGGUUGAUCGGCCACAUUGGGACUGAGACACGGCCCAAACUCCUACGGGAGGCAGCAGUAGGGAAUCUUCCACAAUGGACGCAAGUCUGAUGGAGCAACGCCGCGUGAGUGAAGAAGGCUUUCGGGUCGUAAAACUCUGUUGUUGGAGAAGAAUGGUCGGCAGAGUAACUGUUGUCGGCGUGACGGUAUCCAACCAGAAAGCCACGGCUAACUACGUGCCAGCAGCCGCGGUAAUACGUAGGUGGCAAGCGUUAUCCGGAUUUAUUGGGCGUAAAGCGAGCGCAGGCGGUUUUUUAAGUCUGAUGUGAAAGCCCUCGGCUUAACCGAGGAAGUGCAUCGGAAACUGGGAAACUUGAGUGCAGAAGAGGACAGUGGAACUCCAUGUGUAGCGGUGAAAUGCGUAGAUAUAUGGAAGAACACCAGUGGCGAAGGCGGCUGUCUGGUCUGUAACUGACGCUGAGGCUCGAAAGCAUGGGUAGCGAACAGGAUUAGAUACCCUGGUAGUCCAUGCCGUAAACGAUGAAUGCUAGGUGUUGGAGGGUUUCCGCCCUUCAGUGCCGCAGCUAACGCAUUAAGCAUUCCGCCUGGGGAGUACGACCGCAAGGUUGAAACUCAAAGGAAUUGACGGGGGCCCGCACAAGCGGUGGAGCAUGUGGUUUAAUUCGAAGCAACGCGAAGAACCUUACCAGGUCUUGACAUCUUUUGAUCACCUGAGAGAUCAGGUUUCCCCUUCGGGGGCAAAAUGACAGGUGGUGCAUGGUUGUCGUCAGCUCGUGUCGUGAGAUGUUGGGUUAAGUCCCGCAACGAGCGCAACCCUUAUGACUAGUUGCCAGCAUUUAGUUGGGCACUCUAGUAAGACUGCCGGUGACAAACCGGAGGAAGGUGGGGAUGACGUCAAAUCAUCAUGCCCCUUAUGACCUGGGCUACACACGUGCUACAAUGGAUGGUACAACGAGUUGCGAGACCGCGAGGUCAAGCUAAUCUCUUAAAGCCAUUCUCAGUUCGGACUGUAGGCUGCAACUCGCCUACACGAAGUCGGAAUCGCUAGUAAUCGCGGAUCAGCACGCCGCGGUGAAUACGUUCCCGGGCCUUGUACACACCGCCCGUCACACCAUGAGAGUUUGUAACACCCGAAGCCGGUGGCGUAACC
This 1413-nucleotide ribosomal RNA is filed under the name Lacticaseibacillus rhamnosus. Its description in RNAcentral is "bacterial SSU rRNA". It matches the Rfam family "Bacterial small subunit ribosomal RNA". Lineage: Bacteria; Bacillati; Bacillota; Bacilli; Lactobacillales; Lactobacillaceae. The record is from RNAcentral.